CCCCACACACUUUUCGAUGCCGACCUUCCACUUCCAAAAUAUGGGCUGCAGCGUUAAGCGGACGGUUCACAAACUUGGAGUCCCCUUCCACAAUCAACCGUCGAAAGCC
This is a long non-coding RNA of Gossypium raimondii (Peruvian cotton), 109 nucleotides long. RefSeq lists it as uncharacterized. Lineage: Eukaryota; Viridiplantae; Streptophyta; Magnoliopsida; Malvales; Malvaceae. The record is from RefSeq and is a predicted model, not a curated record. The transcript has 2 exons.